CAGUCGCCGCGGGAAUACGUAGGGUGCAAGCGUUAAUCGGAAUUACUGGGCGUAAAGCGUGCGCAGGCGGUUAUAUAAGACAGAUGUGAAAUCCCCGGGCUCAACCUGGGAACUGCAUUUGUGACUGUAUAGCUAGAGUACGGCAGAGGGGGAUGGAAUUCCGCGUGUAGCAGUGAAAUGCGUAGAUACGCGGAGGAACACCGAUGGCGAAGGCAAUCCCCUGGGCCUGUACUGACGCUCAUGCACGAAAGCGUGGGGAGCAAACAGGAUUAGAUACCCCCGUAGUCCCUGUCUCUUAUAC
Molecule: ribosomal RNA, 301 nt
Filed under: uncultured bacterium
Lineage: Bacteria
Description: partial 16S ribosomal RNA
Rfam family: Bacterial small subunit ribosomal RNA
Source: RNAcentral